GAUGAACGCUGGCGGCGUGCCUAAUACAUGCAAGUCGAGCGAACGGACGAGAAGCUUGCUUCUCUGAUGUUAGCGGCGGACGGGUGAGUAACACGUGGAUAACCUACCUAUAAGACUGGGAUAACUUCGGGAAACCGGAGCUAAUACCGGAUGAUAUUUUGAACCGCAUGGUUCAAAAGUGAAAGACGGUCUUGCUGUCACUUAUAGAUGGAUCCGCGCUGCAUUAGCUAGUUGGUAAGGUAUUGGCUUACCAAGGCAACGAUGCAUAGCCGACCUGAGAGGGUGAUCGGCCACACUGGAACUGAGACACGGUCCAGACUCCUACGGGAGGCAGCAGUAGGGAAUCUUCCGCAAUGGGCGAAAGCCUGACGGAGCAACGCCGCGUGAGUGAUGAAGGUCUUCGGAUCGUAAAACUCUGUUAUUAGGGAAGAACAUAUGUGUAAGUAACUGUGCACAUCUUGACGGUACCUAAUCAGAAAGCCACGGCUAACUACGUG
Molecule: ribosomal RNA, 497 nt
Filed under: uncultured bacterium
Lineage: Bacteria
Description: partial 16S ribosomal RNA
Rfam family: Bacterial small subunit ribosomal RNA
Source: RNAcentral